CACAAUGCAGAUCACUACAUCAUCAUGACUGAGUGAUACCUCUAUGUAACUUCAGUCUCAAAGGUGGAUUUGCUCCACAUUUUGUGCAUUUUGCGCUCUGUGCAGGUGA
Molecule: long non-coding RNA, 109 nt
Filed under: Numida meleagris (helmeted guineafowl)
Lineage: Eukaryota; Metazoa; Chordata; Aves; Galliformes; Numididae
Description: lncRNA (ENSNMEG00000000111.1)
Source: RNAcentral